This 301-nucleotide ribosomal RNA is filed under the name uncultured bacterium. RNAcentral describes it as "bacterial SSU rRNA". It matches the Rfam family "Bacterial small subunit ribosomal RNA", at positions 333 to 651 of the family's 1533-position model. The record is from RNAcentral.
ACGUACCUACGGGGGGCAGCAGUGGGGAAUAUUGCACAAUGGGGGGAACCCUGAUGCAGCGACGCCGCGUGGGUGAGGAAGUACUUCGGUAUGUAAAGCCCUAUCAGCAGGGAAGAAAAUGACGGUACCUGACUAAGAAGCCCCGGCUAACUACGUGCCAGCAGCCGCGGUAAUACGUAGGGGGCAAGCGUUAUCCGGAUUUACUGGGUGUAAAGGGAGCGUAGACGGCGUGCCAAGUCUGGUGUGAAAGGCCGGGGCUGACCUCCGGGACUGAAUUGGAAACUGGCAUGAUGGCGUGAGG